This 459-nucleotide ribosomal RNA is filed under the name uncultured bacterium. RNAcentral's name for it is "bacterial SSU rRNA". It matches the Rfam family "Bacterial small subunit ribosomal RNA", at positions 30 to 507 of the family's 1533-position model. The record is from RNAcentral.
AUUGAACGCUGGCGGCAUGCCUUACACAUGCAAGUCGAACGGUAACAGGUCUUCGGAUGCUGACGAGUGGCGAACGGGUGAGUAACGCGUGGGUAACCUGCCCUGUACACACGGAUAACAUACCGAAAGGUAUGCUAAUACGAGAUAAUAUACUUUUAUCGCAUGGUAGAAGUAUCAAAGCUUUUGCGGUACAGGAUGGACCCGCGUCUGAUUAGCUAGUUGGUAAGGUGACGGCUUACCAAGGCGACGAUCAGUAGCCGACCUGAGAGGGUGAUCGGCCACAUUGGAACUGAGACACGGUCCAAACUCCUACGGGAGGCAGCAGUGGGGAAUAUUGCACAAUGGGCGAAAGCCUGAUGCAGCAACGCCGCGUGAGCGAUGAAGGCCUUCGGUCGUAAAGCUCUGUCCUCAAGGAAGAUAAUGACGGUACUUGAGGAGGAAGCCCCGGCUAACUACGUG